RNAcentral lists this ribosomal RNA (447 nucleotides) under uncultured bacterium. RNAcentral describes it as "partial 16S ribosomal RNA". It matches the Rfam family "Bacterial small subunit ribosomal RNA", at positions 29 to 523 of the family's 1533-position model. The record is from RNAcentral.
AACGAACGCUGGCGGCAGGCUUAACACAUGCAAGUCGAGCGCCCCGCAAGGGGAGCGGCGCACGGGUGAGUAACACGUGGGAAUAUGCCCUUUAGUGGAGAAUAACGUCGGGAAACUGACGCUAAUACUCCAUACGCCCUUCGGGGGAAAGAUUUAUCGCUGAAGGAUUAGCCCGCGUUAGAUUAGGUAGUUGGUGAGGUAAUGGCUCACCAAGCCUACGAUCUAUAGCUGGUCUGAGAGGACGGCCAGCCACACUGGAACUGAGACACGGUCCAGACUCCUACGGGAGGCAGCAGUGGGGAAUAUUGGACAAUGGGGGAAACCCUGAUCCAGCCAUGCCGCGUGAGUGAUGAAGGCCUUAGGGUUGUAAAGCUCUUUUGUCAGGGAAGAUGAUGACGGUACCUGAAGAAUAAGCACCGGCUAACUUCGUGCCAGCCGCCGCCGUAA